UGCAUAUAAUGAUGAAAGCAUAGUUCAAUUGAUUUGCAGUGAAAAAUAUUAAAAAUGUCUUUCGCUCCUAUCUGAUAAAAUAA
Apis mellifera (honey bee) is the source of this 83-nucleotide non-coding RNA. The record is from Rfam. Lineage: Eukaryota; Metazoa; Arthropoda; Insecta; Hymenoptera; Apidae.